UUUGCCAUGGACUGCACUCUUCCCUGAGCAGGAUGCUCGCUCCCUCUCUCUGGUGAAUUUGGAGAGUGCUCCCGUGGUGAGAGCUGGCCCUCCAGGAGCCUCCACUGUUUAACGGGGGCCUAGAGACGCCAGGAACCACCAAGAGCCAGAGGUUGGCUACCACCGAAUACCUCUGCAGGAAGGAGACUACCCCUCCAUGAGGACCAUUACAGGAGCUCCUGGGUGGUUCCUGCCCCUGCUCCACAUGAGACAUGUAAGAGAUGGAUGACCUUCUUCCUGGCCAGGAGAGCUUCCUCACUGGGGACCUCAACUGUGGUGCUCACACAUCAGCCCUGAGUGACUGGUUGGCUUCUUCAAUUGAACUCCCCUGGUGGUGAUGAAUUCACAGUGCUGGGGGUUGUGCUGGUGGGAUGCUUGGUGCCCAGCCCUCUGUGAAUAACCCACAUGAGAAAGGAAAAGUCAGGGACUGAAUGAGUUGGGUCCUGCGGGCCUCUACCAGACACCUUUCUGUGGGGAAGUUUUACAGAUGUUUCAAAAUUCGUUAGUUGAUAAUUCAUGGCUAACUCCUGCUAUGUUCAUCUCUACUUUUGCUCCCCUCCCCAUGUGUCUACUGUCUGAGAAACUACGCUAGGGAAAAAAGCGUUGGAAAGAAGUGCCUUCAUCAGGUAAAAUUGGUGCACAGGUAGUUCUUGAAGGGGAAGGUUGCUCAGAUGACUUCUACAAUCAUUGGUGUGGACAUCUUUACCAACUCCAGUGCUACUUAGUUGCCUGAAAGGGAAUGCUCACUGAGAAGGACUUUGUCUGUUAAGUAAUACUUAGAAAGACAAGCACCUAUUUUAGGAGAAUACUUAGGCUGGAUGGAGACUUGUUCUGGUAGUUCUGAGCUCUGUCAUAGGCAUGGGGCCAAAAGCCUUCUCAGGACCUAUAAUGUUGUCCUACCAGUUGUGCUUGCCAUGGCACCUAUGGCCAGGCUAAGGUAGCAUUUAGCACUGCUUUUAACACCUUGCUGCCAUCAGCCUGCUUUUAUUUGAGUGACCAAUUAUACUGUCAGUGGCUAUUAGCUGUAGCACUGCACGAAGAAUGGGCCCAGGUAAUCAGGUACGCCUCUACUCAGCUCAACUUGCCCCAAAAGGCAGAUUUGAGAGUAUCUUUGCACUAGGACAGCCAGGAUUUAGUCUGCAAGCUCUCACUGCAUCCUCCAUCAGUUUGAGGGGUCUCAAGCCUGCCCCAUCCUUAGAAGCUGCCAGUGUCUCCAUAGCUCACUUCUUUCACCACCCCAUCUCUCAAAUGUCCUUACGACCCAGGAUGCAGCAGAGCUUGGUGGGGUCUGCACCAGGAAUUUGGCUCCCCCCAUGGAGGGGAACCCAACUGAUUUUAUGAGGCAGUUUUCUGACCUCACUGCAAUGGUAAUCUUUUAUUUUCAGUACUGAAAUUUGUUUUGAAUCUAAAAUUCAAGCCAGAGCAUGAUGAGCACACACACAGAGGAUAUCAAUUGAAAAAGAAGCCACUGAGCAAUAGUAAACAGAUCUGCCCAUGUUACCCAUCUCUCUGGUUUUAUCAUCUGGAGAGCAAACAGUAAAAAUAAAAUAAAAUAAAAUAAAAUAAAAUAAAAUAAAAUAAAAUAAAAUGCUGUCUGCAUUGAAACAUCUCCCCAAAACUUGACAUCCCUGAAAGAUUUUCAAUUACAUUUUUCUGGGGGAGGGGAAAAGUGACUCUUUAGGCAAUACACCCUUGUUUGUUUUUCAUCAAGAUAAAGUUUUGGUUGAUACAAAGGGGCUAAACUAACAGUCUUGGGUUAAAAAAUAAAAUAAAAUAGGGGAGGAAUAUCUAAAACACUAAGGUUCAAACCCAACUCACCUUUUGGCAAUUCUAGCAGAGUUAUGUUGUUUUGGAAACACUGUCAAAAUGAAAGUGGUCUCAAAGUUUGCUAUAGAAAAAUGGCUGCCAUUUUAGUGGGUCUAGCAAAAAAUCCUCAAUAGUUUAUAGAGAGAGGAACAGACAGCCAGUCCCUGGAGAUGUACAGGGCUCCAAUUUGGCAAGACUCACCAGGUAAUCCUUUUUCAGCAGAGGCUUGCAGGCAAACUAUCAAGCCAAUCCAGGAAUAAUAAAAACAUUAAUUACAGGCUUUCUCUCACUACAGAAAACAUGCAUUUUAAUGCCUCUUCAGGGGAUUUAUCAUACAUGAGAAUAAGGUUUAUUUUUUACCACUCUUCCUCUUUUACUCAUGAAAUCCUGGAGUUUCCCAAAUAUGAUGCUCCACUCUGAAAGACUAAGUCCUGAGCUGGUAGAAAACAGGACAGCACAGCUGAUUCCCUCUGCAGCUAUACCGAUUUACACCAGCUGAGGAUCAGCUCCAUUACAUUACCUAGGCAUGGAGUUGUUGGAGCUGCUCUAAUUCUUUAUUCUCGUUUGAUUUCAGUCUCAAAAAUUAAACUGUCUUACAAAGUGAAUGUUUACAAUUGAGUCCAAACCUAUUACACUGAAACUGUUUGAUUAUAAGCAGGUUAGAUCAGCUUUCCUGUGAUAACAGCUCCUGAUAUUGGUGUCUUUCUUGUGCAGGCUUAAAACUUUGCUUGCAAAAUCUCCUUGUAUUCCUUUGAACUCCCUUGGGAGAUUUAAAAAGAGAAAAAAAAAAAAAAAAACACUCCAGUUAACACUCCCUCAUUUCAUUUUUAAAGGUCAUGCUCAGAGCUGGCAGUUGUUAUAGGAGCUGUCCUCUGUAAAGAAAAGUCUUAACUAGCCAGGCACAGACUUAACCUCCCCAUCGAAAAACUAACAUUGUCACUAGGAUAUGGAGAAACCAUGGUGAAGAACUAGCAACAGCUAGACCACGGCAGAAUGAGCAGUCGGCAUCUGCUCGGUGGGCCUUUAUCAUGCAGUGUUGUAUGUACGAUUCAAAAUGCACAGGACGAUUGUUGAAAUGAUGUAGACAAAUUGACUCAAAUUAGUUUAGCAUGGGCCAUGCAAAGUUUAAGCUUGUUGAGCCCAGACACAUAGCAACAGCCACCGCACUUGGGGCGACCGUGCGAUAGAAGCGCUCGCAGAGAAGCACGACGCCAGCCCACGUUCACGGGCUUUGCUUUUGUGCCUGCUUGCUCCUUUUCUUUUCAUUCCGCCCAGCUCUAGAAAGUCUUGGCAGAAGCGGUCCCUGCUGAAGACUACACUGGCACUGAUAAUUUUAUAGAAGUACUUGUGAGCUUUAAUGUCAUUUUAUACUUCCUUAAUCUUUUGACUGUUACUUAAUGACAAACAAAUCCCCAAAGAACUGAGGG
Anas platyrhynchos (mallard) is the source of this 3272-nucleotide non-coding RNA. The record is from RefSeq and is a predicted model, not a curated record. NCBI's taxonomy places the organism in Eukaryota, Metazoa, Chordata, Aves, Anseriformes, Anatidae.